AGGACGAACGCUGGCGGCGUGCUUAACACAUGCAAGUCGAACGGUGAAAGGGAGCUUGCUCCCUGGAUCAGUGGCGAACGGGUGAGUAACACGUGGGCAACCUGCCCCUGACACUGGGAUAACUCCGGGAAACCGGGGCUAAUACCGGAUAUGACUUGGCCUCGCAUGGGGUUGGGUGGAAAGUUUUUCGGUCUGGGAUGGGCUCGCGGCCUAUCAGCUUGUUGGUGGGGUGAUGGCCUACCAAGGCGACGACUGGUAC
This 259-nucleotide ribosomal RNA is filed under the name uncultured bacterium. RNAcentral describes it as "partial small subunit ribosomal RNA". It matches the Rfam family "Bacterial small subunit ribosomal RNA", at positions 26 to 286 of the family's 1533-position model. The record is from RNAcentral.